UGGCUCUUCGUCGCAUGAUUGAAAUGUUCAUCUGAACUAAAAAGUUCUAAGUUGCUGGAAAAGUUCAGGUCUGACAGCAUUCGUGCAAGAAAAAACGUCAGAGUUAACGUUUCCGCUCCGGUGACCCUUCCUCGGAUCCGACUCCCUGUAAACUUAACAGGCGUGUCAGAUGUCUGACUGAAUCUUUCCCUGGACUGUGUUGAAACUCCUCUGACUUUUUUUAAAAAAAGCAUAUUUGCUUUGAAUCUGAGAGCUGAACGUGACCUCUGGGCUGCGAGCAGGAGCUUCUGAUGAAAAGAGAAACACAAGCUUGUGUUUUUGAGGCCAGACCUGGAAGCCAAUUGCAGGUUGGUUCUUGAUCAAAAACUCUAUUGACACUUUUAGCCGUGAAUGAGGUCUGUGUCUGAACCGGCGCCCACAAGUCUGGGAGGGGAUGUGAUCAAACAGAAGGAAAGGCUGGAGUUUUUGAUCAAAGAUAAUGGGAACUGGAGAUGCUGGCGAAUCCAAGGUCAGUGCCUUGUUGUUAUUGCAUCAAAUCCUUCAGGGUCUCCAAAAACGAACCUGACAUUUGGUGUUGCGAGCAGGAUUCCAACGUGUACAGCAGUCUCACAUGGAGGGCUGAAUAAGUGAUCGUUCGAGUGUCGGUGGAGUAAGACAGAGGGGCCCGCAAGCUUUGUACCACAUGCGAAUAACACCCCACUCUACUACUGGGCUCUUGGAAGCAGUACCAGCCUAUGGCCAACCUAGCAGAACACCCUGGGAUGUCAAUACCAGCCCACUCACCCAAAUUGACCUGAAUGUGAUGGGAGAAGAAAUGCAAAGGUACUUCCGGCAACUAACAUCAUCUUUAAAGUUUCUCCAUUCACAAGUGAAGUGCGCCUUCGGACCGCUUCCGCAGGCUUGGAACCAAGACCUCAAGAAUCAGGAUCGGUCUUCGUGGCCGCAGGUUGGAGAUUUUGUACUUGUCUGGGACUGGGCUCGUCCCAAGCUCGGACCAAGGUGGAAAGGACCAUAUCAAGUGCUUCUUCAAACUCCCACAGCACUUAAAGUUAAAGGACAGAAUCACUGGAUUCACCUAAGUGACUGCAAAUGAUGGAUUUCCUCAUCAGCUUGCAAUUGACUAUUGGACUGAGUAUGAUUCUGCCUGUGCAUGGCCAGCAGGACAACCUGUUUUUUAGAACACAAAUCUAGCUGCACGGGAAUCGGACAACACGUUACCUGCUAGCACGGUCUGUAGAAACAUUAUUUGUGGCAACACCAGCCUCGAACCUUCGUCAGCUUUAUGAAGUAGAGUAUUCCGGUAAACCUUGCCGAGGGGAGAGGGGAACUUGGACGAGAGGUGUGCAGGGUAAGUGUGUGGAAUUGGUAGUUAAUGUCCCCUCUGAUUGUGUGGACUCUAGACCUAGGUAUGGGAAAGAAGGGGCUAACUGUACAAAUCCCAACAGCUAUCCGUUUUGCUUUAAUGGAACUGGGACUUGUGUGCAUGCUCUAGUCACUAAUCACCCCCAAAAUGUUUCCUGGCCCCAUCGGUGCCUAAAAAGAAAUUGCACCGCUAGAGAAGGACUGUUGAACUGCCCCUGCUUAGAAGCUAAGCCAAUAACUGUGACCCCGGGCAAACUUUGGCCUUGUGGGGAUUGCAAUGGCACCCAUGUAGAAACGGACUACGGGUCAUUUCUGUUUAACCCUGCAAAUUUCCAUCCGUAUAAGGGUCAGUCCUCCUCGAAUAGCUAUCAAGGAAUGUGAGUCUGUUACCUGCUACCGGGCUAAGAAGGGAUUUGUUUUCCUCCUUAACGGGACCUUCACGUCUGCCACUCUGACUUUGCCAGUGCUGUUUGCUGUUGGGACCAUUGGGCCCCUCACGGUCCCUUGUACCCAACACGCACAGACUCAACGGCGAACUGUCACACACUUCCUGAGCUGGGAGUUUUAUGCUGCAUGGCAGAACCCAGUUGCCUUGGGCUCUUCCUUGGGAUACAGCUCCCUGGGAACAGUCAGCUUGGGAGGUUCCCCAUGGGUGGUGGCCACAAAAAAUCAAAAUUACCUUGUAUGCAGACUCACCACCCUGGGAAACAGCACAAUGAUGGCAUUGGAGGCAGUCAACCAAGAAUUAGCUGAACUUCGGCUCUAUGCACAACAAACUCGGUAUGCAGUGGACUAUUAACUGGCUCAGCAAGGAGGAAUAUGCACUAUUAUAGGGGACAAGUGCAUUACCCAUGUUACCAACAAGUCCUAUAACAUUACCCAGGCUAUUCAAGCCAUACAGGGGCAGUUGGAAUAGUACAGAGAGGGACUCCGACCUGGGGAGGGCUUGUUGGGAUGGCUUAUGAGCGGUUCUUGGGGCUCAUACUUGCUACAUGGGUUAGUUGUUCUAGUAGUUAUCAUAGCUGUCUGCCGUACAUUUAUGGAAUGCCUGAACCCUUGCUGCAGAUUUGUUUGACAGGCUGGCAGCUCCCUUCUCGGCCCCGAUAUAGGUUAUCAUGAGAUGAUAAAAGGAAGGAAUGAGAUGUUAUUGGGAUAACAUCCCACUGAUUUCUAUAUUUCUAUAAAUUAAUGUCCUUUAUCUGCCUACGCAUAGGUAUGCAGACACUGCCUUAAGCUUCCUGCCCGAAUAGAACUGAGUUAAACUGUACAAAUCUUUAUCUUCCUGCAUGGGGAUAUGUGGAAACUGUCUCAAAGUUAAGUGAGGAGCAUUUGUAAAGGUGUGAGACUUCUGAAGUGUGUAACUUGUGUCUCUGAUAAAGGGGCCAGGGCACUGACUUGUUCAAGCCAGACACUUCGGCAGCUUGAAAUUACAUUCUGCCACUUCGGCAACUUGAAAUCGCCUCCUAUCAUUAGCAGUCACUUCGUGAAUGGUGGAUACUAUAUCCUGGUCUUGUUAAGUUUUUGAUGUAAUAACUGUCUUGUAUAAUGUCUUUGUAGUAAUUGUUUCAUGUAUCUUAUCAUUGUGAGAUGUAAAAUUGCUUUAUGUAUUACGCACUUGGUAAAGUAUAAAAAGCGGGGACUGUCCGCACUUGGGGAGAAUUGCUUAAGAGACUCUGCACUCCAUGCCAGGUUGAGUACAGUGAUU
Molecule: long non-coding RNA, 3067 nt
Organism: Stegostoma tigrinum
Lineage: Eukaryota; Metazoa; Chordata; Chondrichthyes; Orectolobiformes; Stegostomatidae
Exons: 3
Source: RefSeq, a predicted model, not a curated record